This 561-nucleotide ribosomal RNA is filed under the name Trichoderma atroviride. Its description in RNAcentral is "eukaryotic LSU rRNA". The stretch from base 235 to 388 matches the Rfam family "5.8S ribosomal RNA". Lineage: Eukaryota; Fungi; Ascomycota; Sordariomycetes; Hypocreales; Hypocreaceae. The record is from RNAcentral.
UUUGUAGAAAAAAAAAGUUGUAACAAGGUCUCCGUUGGUGAACCAGGGGAGGGAUCAUUGGUGGAACGCGCCCCAGGCGCACCCAGAAACCCUUUGUGAAUUUAUACCUUUUGUUGCCUGGGCGCAUGCUGGUUUUUAGUAGGCCCCUCACCCCGGAGAGGAGAGGGCACGCCGGCGGCCAAGUUAACUUUUGUUUUUACACUGAAACUUUGAGAAAAAACACAAAUGAAUCAAAACUUUCAACAACGGAUCUCUUGGUUCUGGCAUCGAUGAAGAAAGCAGAGAAAUGUGAUAAGUAAUGUGAAUUGCAGAAUUCAGUGAAUCAUAGAAUCUUUGAACGCACAUUGCGCCCUGUGGUAUUCCGGAGGGCAUGCCUGUUGGAGCGUCAUUUCAACCCUCAAGCAUUGGUUGGUGUUGGGGCACUGCUUUUAAGCAAGCAGGCCCUGAAAUAUAGUGGAGAGCUCGCCAGGACCCCGAGCGCAGUAGUUAAACCCUCUCUUUGGAAGGCCCGGGGGGUGCCCAGCCGUUAAACCCCCAAAUUUUGAAAAUUUGACCUCGGAU